Molecule: RNA transcript, 2983 nt
Organism: Malania oleifera
Lineage: Eukaryota; Viridiplantae; Streptophyta; Magnoliopsida; Santalales; Ximeniaceae
Gene name: pentatricopeptide repeat-containing protein At2g33680
Exons: 3
Source: RefSeq, a predicted model, not a curated record
CAGAGCUAGCGCGGCCGACCGCGGUGUUGAUGAGUAGACUUCCUUCCCACAGUCGCUCCUACUUCAACCAACUGCUGCAACUCACCCACCAUAGAGACCUCUGCAAAGGCCGAGCCUUGCAUGCGCAGAUCCUUAAAACUGGUUCUUCCUCUUGCAUUUUCAUCGCCAACAGCCUCGUCAACCUCUAUGCUAAGUGCGGACGCUUGCUCGAAGCAUUCCUCCAAUUUGAAGACAUACCCGGCAAGGACGUCGUCUCAUGGAAUUGCAUCAUCAAUGGCUACUCCCAACAGGGUCUCGCGGGAUCUUCUGUUGUCAUGAAACUUUUCAGGCGCAUGCGCGCCGAGAAUGGCUUCCCCAACGCACACACGUUCGCGGGUGUGUUUACAGCCACGUCGAAUUUGUCGGAUGUUUUUGGCGGGCAGCAAGUGCACGCUUUGGCGAUCAAAACAGAUGGAUUUGUGGAUGUGUUUGUGGGUAGUUCUGUAGUGAAUAUGUAUUGCAAAGUGGGUUUUGUUUCAGAUGCUCGUCACGUGUUCGAUAGAAUGCCUCAGAGGAAUUCAGUUUCAUGGGCUACAAUGAUUUCUGGAUAUGCAGUGCAGCGGCUUGCUGCAGAAGCUCUGGACCUCUUUGUGUUGAUGCGCCGGGAAGAAGAGGAAAAGGAGAAUGAAUUUGUGUUCACUAGUGUUCUUAGUGCCUUGACGGCUCAUGAACUUGUUGAACAUGGUAAGCAAAUUCAUGGUCUUGCGACAAAAAAUGGGUUAUUGGCUUUUGUCUCGGUUGGAAAUGCUCUUGUUACUAUGUAUGCUAAAUGUGGGAUUCUUGAUGACGCUCUUCAAACAUUUAAGAUGUCAAGUGAUAAGAACUCUAUUACGUGGUCAGCAAUGAUCACUGGCUAUGCACAAAGUGGGAAUUCUCACGAGGCAUUGAUAUUGUUUUCAAAUAUGCAUUUUUCGGGGAUGAUGCCCAGUGAGUUCACCCUUGUCGGGGUCCUCAAUGCUUGUAGUGAUAUUGGUUCUGUUGAAGAAGGAAAGCAAGUGCAUGACUAUUUGCUGAAGUUGGGGUUUGAAUCCCAAAUAUUUAUAAUGACGGCACUGGUUGAUAUGUAUGCGAAAUGUGGCAGCAUUGCUGAUGCUCGGAAGGGUUUUGAUUAUCUACAAGAGCCUGAUAUUGUUUUGUGGACUUCCAUGAUUGGAGGGUAUGCACAAAAUGGAGAGAAUGAAGAUGCAUUGAGUUUGUAUGGUAGAAUGGAGGCAGAGGGGAUCUUGCCUAAUGAACUAACCAUGGCCAGUGUCCUUAAAGCCUGUUCGAGCCUUGCUGCUUUAGAGCAAGGAAAGCAAGUUCAUGCCCGCUCCAUUAAAUAUGGAUUUGGUUUAGAAGCUCCAAUUGGAAGUGCUCUUUCAAUUAUGUAUGCAAAAUGUGGAAACCUUGAAGAUGGAAACCUUGCUUUUAGGAGGACACCCUCGAGGGAUGUUGUAUCAUGGAACUCAAUGAUAUCUGGGCUUUCUCAAAAUGGACGUGGCAAAGAAGCUCUGGAACUCUUUGAGGAAAUGCGAUUAGAGGGUACAAAGCCAGAUAGUGUUACUUUUGUGAAUAUUCUUUCCGCUUGUAGCCACAUGGGAUUGGUGAAAAGAGGAUGGAUAUAUUUCAAGAUGAUGUCUAAUGUAUUUGGCAUAGUCCCACAAGUGGAGCAUUAUGCUUGUAUGGUUGAUAUUUUAAGCCGUUCCGGAAAGCUUAAUGAUGCUAAAGAGUUUAUUGAAUCGGCAACUAUUGAUCAUGGUAUGUGUUUAUGGCGUAUAUUAUUGGGUGCUUGUCGGAACUACCGUAAUUAUGAUUUGGGAGCAUAUGCAGGGGAGAAACUAAUGGACUUGGGCUCCCCAGAAUCAUCUGCUUAUGUGUUGUUGUCAAGUAUCUAUUCUGCCUUGGGCAGGUGGGAUGAUGUUGAGCGAGUCUGGAGGAUGAUGAAAGCUCGAGGCAUAACUAAGGAGCCUGGGUGUAGCUGGGUUGAACUGAAGAGUCAAGUUCAUGUGUUUGUUGUUGGAGACCAGAUGCAUCCGCAGAUUGGACAAAUACGUGAAGAGUUACGGUGGUUAAGCAAACAAAUGAAGGAUGAAGGUUACAAGCCUGAAUUUGAUUCAUUUUCUGUGGCUUCUGGAAGUUGAGAUGACAAGGGCAAAGAGGUGGUGCAUCUGGGUUUUGCUUUUUGGGGAGGGCAGUUUUCUCCUGAGCUCUUCCUGGUAGGUGGAUUUCAGGCUUCCCACUAAAAUUUAGUGCCCGUGGGGAGAGUUUUCUGCAUCUUUUCAUGUUGGAUGAAGGGAGGGACGGCGCAUGGCUGGGUCAGUGAUUUCUACCAUGCUAGGGUCAAGCACUGGAAUGGAGUGAGCUGUGUUGUGUUAUGGCAUCCUACCAGUUUUGGUACUUGCAGAUUCGAUUUCAUGGCAUGUUCUGGUCCUGGGCUUGUCAGCGUUGUGUUCAUUCUGGCCUUUGUCAGUUGCAUUGAGUUGGGGGACUUCCUUCUUUUGCCGUUCUUUGUCACUUUGUCAGAUUGUGGUUGAUAUCGGUCUCUGAAGGAGAUUUGUACAGUCAUGGCUGCACAAUGAUGCUGCAAACGGGCUGAUUUUCCCCAUUGCAGCCGUAAUGGAAGUUAAAAAAAACGGCUACAUUGGGCUCAACGGUCACCAAAAUAUACAAGGAGUGAAUGGAUUUUGCCAUUUAAUAUAGCAACAUUUAUUGGAACUUGUCAAUGAUUUCUUGAAGAAAGCUGUGAUAUAAAUUACGGAUCGUUGCAGUGUAUAAGCUUAAUUUUGUAGUUGUUAUGAUGCAGAUAAAAAGUUAUAAGUUGUGUGAAAUGCAUUUUUACCCCACAGCAUAGUGCAGGCAUGUUGUCUAGCAUAUUACUGCACAACCUGAGGAAUAAGCUAUCAGAUUAUUCAAUAUCAGUAGCUUCUACAUUGGACGAACAAUAAUAACUUCUCUUGGUUUGGAA